GCACUCACUUGGAUUUUUCAAACGUGUAUUAACAGUCUUAACACAAAUCUACAUCAACGUUUCGAACCUUCAUCUUGAUAAAGACCCUGAAGGGUCGAAACGUUGAUGUAGAUUUGUGUUAAGACUGUUAAUACAUGUUUGAAAAAUCCACGUGAGUGC
Pelobates cultripes (western spadefoot toad) is the source of this 159-nucleotide non-coding RNA. The record is from the annotation of a GenBank genome assembly. NCBI's taxonomy places the organism in Eukaryota, Metazoa, Chordata, Amphibia, Anura, Pelobatidae.